ACGCUGCUGCUUCACCUCCACAUCUGGAGACAGAAAAACACAGAGACAUUAACACGCUGCAUGCUUCACCUCCACAUCUGGAGACAGAAGACACAGAGACA
Siniperca chuatsi (mandarin fish) is the source of this 101-nucleotide long non-coding RNA. RefSeq lists it as uncharacterized. The record is from RefSeq and is a predicted model, not a curated record. The transcript is spliced from 3 exons. Lineage: Eukaryota; Metazoa; Chordata; Actinopteri; Centrarchiformes; Sinipercidae.